This 603-nucleotide ribosomal RNA is filed under the name uncultured fungus. RNAcentral describes it as "eukaryotic LSU rRNA". It matches the Rfam family "Eukaryotic large subunit ribosomal RNA", at positions 23 to 641 of the family's 3401-position model. The record is from RNAcentral. Lineage: Eukaryota; Fungi.
ACCCGCUGAACUUAAGCAUAUCAAUAAGCGGAGGAAAAGAAACCAACAGGGAUUGCCCUAGUAACGGCGAGUGAAGCGGCAACAGCUCAAAUUUGAAAUCUGGCGUCUUUGGCGUCCGAGUUGUAAUUUGCAGAGGGCGCUUUGGCAUUGGCAGCGGUCCAAGUUCCUUGGAACAGGACGUCACAGAGGGUGAGAAUCCCGUACGUGGUCGCUAGCCUUUACCGUGUAAAGCCCCUUCGACGAGUCGAGUUGUUUGUGAAUGCAGCUCUAAAUGGGAGGUAAAUUUCUUCUAAAGCUAAAUACUGGCCAGAGACCGAUAGCGCACAAGUAGAGUGAUCGAAAGAUGAAAAGCACUUUGGAAAGAGAGUUAAAAAGCUCGUGAAAUUGUUGAAAGGGAAGCGCUUGCAGCCAGACUUGCCUGUAGUUGCUCAUCCGGGUUUUUACCCGGUGCACUCUUCUAUAGGCAGGCCAGCAUCAGUUUGGGCGGUUGGAUAAAGGUCUCUGUCAUGUACCUCUCUUCGGGGAGAACUUAUAGGGGAGACGACAUGCAACCAGCCCGGACUGAGGUCCGCGCAUCUGCUAGGAUGCUGGCGUAAUGGCUGU